GGUUCCUGGGGCAGGGUUUUGAUCAAAGCCUGUGGCUCUUCAGUUCAUUGUGUUCUCUUCAGCGAAGCUGUCACUGUUCUUUUUCUUUUACGUCUUUUAAGGGAAGUACUUCUUUGCACAGGAAUUCAGUUCAACAAACACUUUCUAGUGUCAAUUGUGGUAACUUUUUUGUGCUAAGUGCAAGAGAAAAAUAAAGAUGAAUAAAACAUAGUCUGUGUCCUUGAAGGGGUCACGAGUUAGUGAGAGAGACAGACUUGGACACGACUAAUGGUGAUGAAAAUCAGGCUGUGAUAAAUACUUUAAAAGAGAUAUUCAAAGAGAGAGCACUAUGGGAGAAUGGGACAGAGAAAACCAUGUUCUGGAUCUAAUGGGAAUGUUUGCAGCUUGUCACUUUUCUGAGAGAUGCUUCUCCAAAUAGUAUCCGAAGAAUGCCGACUUCCAAGCUUCUUCCACCAUGUGAACUGCUGACUUAGAAGCCAUAAUUUCCAACUAGAAAUAUAGGUGAAAGAAUACAUGGAUGAUCGUGCCCAUCUCUCAGGACUCAAGCCCAGAAAUGAGGUAGUUGAAAAUCAGAGAGUUCAAGAUUCCAGCGUGAGUACACACAGCAAAGAAGUUACAGCGCCGGUAUGCAAAUGAAAGACAGAUUCCAAGACCCCCGUUAUUUCCUUUUUAUCAUCUUUCCAACCAGCCUUUGUCACACACUCUUCUUAUGACAUGAUCCUGGCCAAAACAGUCUCAUGAGCUAAAGCUUUG
RNAcentral lists this long non-coding RNA (753 nucleotides) under Callithrix jacchus (white-tufted-ear marmoset). RNAcentral describes it as "lncRNA (ENSCJAG00000073066.1)". The record is from RNAcentral. Lineage: Eukaryota; Metazoa; Chordata; Mammalia; Primates; Cebidae.